Molecule: transfer RNA, 97 nt
Filed under: Bacillota bacterium
Lineage: Bacteria; Bacillati; Bacillota
Description: Firmicutes bacterium (anaerobic digester metagenome) tRNA-Sec
Rfam family: Selenocysteine transfer RNA
Source: RNAcentral
GGGAGUAGCUAGGUUCUGGUGUGCCUACCGGUCUUCAAAACCGAGUUUGGGGCCUAAUACGUUCCAAGGUGGGUUCGAUUCCCACAUACUCCCGCCA